CCUAUCCCUCCUAGCCUCCUCCCCGGCCUCUUAAUCAAGCUCGAGGAGCUACAGUUCCAUCCAAUCGCCGCCACGGCCGCCGCCUUGGUCCUCCCAAAUUGGAGCUGCCCCGAACCUCUCAUGUCCAUCUUCUGUGACCAGAGGAACCCCCAAGGUUCGUUAACCCUUACCCAAUUCUCUACCCCGCCUCUGGUGCACUAUGGUGACAUGCCCAACCUCGCCGGAGCCGCCUUCCGCCGUGGCCAAUGCCCCGCCUGACUCCGAGCUCUCUGGCGCUCGUGUGGUACCGGGACGGAUGCGGCGGUUCACCCCAGGGCCUCCGGUGCCCUCCCCGCAGCCCGAGGUGGUUGGAGUUGGCCAGACGUGCGCCGGCGCCGUGCAGUCUCGCCGGUGCCUCUGUUCGUCGGGAGGAGAGAGAGAGGACCCGACAGGUGGGGUCGGGACCCACCUGUCGGCGGCUGGAGGACCGCCAGCUGGUUNN
RNAcentral lists this long non-coding RNA (481 nucleotides) under Hordeum vulgare. RNAcentral's name for it is "long non-coding RNA (HVUL_LNC010859)". The record is from RNAcentral. Lineage: Eukaryota; Viridiplantae; Streptophyta; Magnoliopsida; Poales; Poaceae.